CCAAUGUCCGGGAGCGCUCCGACCUCCGCCACCGGCCUCCCGCCGUCUCCCGUCGCGGGGAACUUUCCGGAACCGAGGCACUGAGGCCGCCGCGGGGUCGAGGCCGCUGUGGAGGGGGUUGAGGCCGCCGCGGGGUUGAGGCCGGUUGAGGCCACCGAGGAUCUGAGGUCGCCGUGGAGGAAGUUGAGGCCACCGAGGAGGUGACACCACCGAGGAGGCCAAGGGGUGAGGCCACCGAGGAGGUGAUGCCACCAGGGAGGCCGCCGAGGAGAUGACACCGCCGAGGAGGCCAAGGGGUGAGGCCGCUGGGGAGGUGACACCACCGAGGAGGCCAAGGGGUGAGGCCGCUGGGGAGGUGACACCGCCGAGGAGAUCGAGGAGGUGACGCCACCAAGGAGACAUCACCACCGAAGAGGCCAAGGGGUGAGGCCACCGGGCAGGUGAGGCCGUCAGGGAG
This is a long non-coding RNA of Cygnus olor (mute swan), 457 nucleotides long. RefSeq lists it as uncharacterized. The record is from RefSeq and is a predicted model, not a curated record. The transcript is spliced from 2 exons. NCBI's taxonomy places the organism in Eukaryota, Metazoa, Chordata, Aves, Anseriformes, Anatidae.